AGGAUUCAGAAGCUACGGCAGCCAAAAAAAUUAAUUUUAGCGAAAUUGAUUUGGAAAAAGACGAACCCGUUGAAGAAACAGAUAUCACUAUUGUUUCUGAAGUCAUUCAAGCUGAAGAUAAAGAAAAGAACGUUGCAAGUGAAUCAAGUAACACCACUGGAAGUUCAACUUCGGUUUCCCAAAAUAAGAACCUUAGCAAUAUUGAUGGUGUAAAAACAAGCUACCAAAAUGAUUGUCCAUCAACUCCAUGCUCACCAAAUCAAUAUGUGACAGCAGGGCAGUUAAGAGAAGAAAGAACUUGGACAGAAAGGUAGUAAAAUUUUUAUAACUGGAGAGCAAUGGAGUGCUAUUUAAUCCAAAUCCACGUUCACGUCUAUGGGUAUUGCUCUUGUUAUGGCUACAUUUGAUAUGACAACGCUGUUGCGUAGUAAUUACAAAGGUGGUAAGUCAAAAAUAAAAAAACCUGAUGAUGACAAUGUCGUGUACAGUGCACUGGAUCAAAAUAUAAUUGCUGCGAUUAAAGACACUGUUAAAAGCCGUUUCAAGAGUACAUUUAACGAUUCUAAAUUUGGUUCUGCAAUAAAUAACAAAUUAACUGCAUUGAGGAGAGACCAUAAGCUGAAAAACGCAAAAGCAGCAGACGCAAAUCAGAAAGAGAGAGAGGAAAAAUAAGUCGAAGAACAAGAUGAAAUUUGAAAUGCUUUUGAGUUUUUUAUUUUACACUUGCUUGUUAAACUUUUACUUAAUACUAAUUAAUACUUACAUACUUUUUUAUAAUCACCAAUAUAACCG
Molecule: long non-coding RNA, 792 nt
Filed under: Neodiprion lecontei (redheaded pine sawfly)
Lineage: Eukaryota; Metazoa; Arthropoda; Insecta; Hymenoptera; Diprionidae
Description: uncharacterized LOC124292756
Source: RNAcentral